Molecule: transfer RNA, 67 nt
Filed under: Heterocephalus glaber (naked mole-rat)
Lineage: Eukaryota; Metazoa; Chordata; Mammalia; Rodentia; Bathyergidae
Rfam family: tRNA
About the family: Transfer RNA (tRNA) molecules are approximately 80 nucleotides in length.
Source: Rfam by way of RNAcentral
CGAUGUAUCUCAGCAGUAGAGUGCUUGCCUAGCACACAUGAGAACCUGGGUUCAAAUUCCAGCAUUG